AACCAACGUGUUUGUUUUUCCAGCCGCAGGGCUCUAGGAGUAGUGGCAAGGUACACAGCUUCGGCAAGAGGGACCAAGCCAUCAAGAGGAACCCCAAUAUCCCUGUGGUGGUCAGGGGAUGGCUCUACAAACAGGACAGCUCUGGAAUGAGACUGUGGAAGAGGAAGUGGUUUGUGUUGUCCGACUACUGCUUGUUUUAUUACAAAGACAGCAGAGAGGAGACGGUUUUGGGGAGCAUCCCCCUGCCCAGUUAUGUCAUCGCCCCUGUGGAGCCUGAUGACCACAUCAGCCGCAAGUAUGCCUUCAAGGUAAGACUAGAGGGCAAGGGUGGGAACU
This is a long non-coding RNA of Salvelinus sp. IW2-2015, 336 nucleotides long. RefSeq lists it as uncharacterized. The record is from RefSeq and is a predicted model, not a curated record. NCBI's taxonomy places the organism in Eukaryota, Metazoa, Chordata, Actinopteri, Salmoniformes, Salmonidae.